RNAcentral lists this ribosomal RNA (556 nucleotides) under uncultured bacterium. Its description in RNAcentral is "partial 16S ribosomal RNA". It matches the Rfam family "Bacterial small subunit ribosomal RNA", at positions 355 to 932 of the family's 1533-position model. The record is from RNAcentral.
UGGGGAAUAUUGCACAAUGGGCGAAAGCCUGAUGCAGCAACGCCGCGUGAGUGAUGAAGGCCUUCGGGUUGUAAAGCUCUGUCUUUUGGGACGAUAAUGACGGUACCAAAGGAGGAAGCCACGGCUAACUACGUGCCAGCAGCCGCGGUAAUACGUAGGUGGCAAGCGUUGUCCGGAUUUACCGGGCGUAAAGGAUGCGUAGGCGGAUUUUUAAGUGAGAUGUGAAAACCCUAAGCUUAACUUGGGGACUGCAUUUCAUACUGGAAAUCUAGAGUGCGGGAGAGGAGAAUGGAAUUCCUAGUGUAGCGGUGAAAUGCGUAGAGAUUAGGAAGAACACCAGUGGCGAAGGCGAUUCUCUGGACCGUAACUGACGCUGAGGCAUGAAAGCGUGGGUAGCAAACAGGAUUAGAUACCCUGGUAGUCCACGCCGUAAACGAUGAGUACUAGGUGUAGGAGGUAUCGACCCCUUCUGUGCCGCAGUUAACACAAUAAGUACUCCGCCUGGGAAGUACGAUCGCAAGAUUGAAACUCAAAUGAAUUGACGGGGUCAUAGCUG